This is a non-coding RNA of Oryza glaberrima (African rice), 191 nucleotides long. The record is from Rfam. Lineage: Eukaryota; Viridiplantae; Streptophyta; Magnoliopsida; Poales; Poaceae.
UUUAAAUGCAACCAUAAAUUUUUCACCUAAUAUUAGUUUUUUUGAAUUUUUUUAUAAUUAGUAUUUUUUGUUGUUAUGAAAUAAUAAAACAUGAAUAGUACUUUACUGACUUAUGUUUUUAAAUUUUUUUAAAAAAAUUAAAUAAGAUGGACGAUAAAAGUUAGGUGCGAAAAAUUAUGGCUACACGGGAC